Molecule: ribosomal RNA, 465 nt
Filed under: uncultured bacterium
Lineage: Bacteria
Description: partial 16S ribosomal RNA
Rfam family: Bacterial small subunit ribosomal RNA
Source: RNAcentral
ACGAACGCUGGCGGCGUGCUUAACACAUGCAAGUCGAACGGAAAGGCCCUGCUUUUGUGGGGUGCUCGAGUGGCGAACGGGUGAGUAACACGUGAGUAACCUGCCCUUGACUUUGGAUAACUUCAGGAAACUGGGGCUAAUACCGGAAAGGAGCUCCUGCUGCAUGGUGGGGGUUGGAAAGUUUCGGCGGUUGGGGAUGGACUCGCGGCUUAUCAGCUUGUUGGUGGGGUAGUGGCUUACCAAGGCUUUGACGGGUAGCCGGCCUGAGAGGGUGACCGGCCACAUUGGGACUGAGAUACGGCCCAGACUCCUACGGGAGGCAGCAGUGGGGAAUAUUGCACAAUGGGCGGAAGCCUGAUGCAGCAACGCCGCGUGCGGGAUGACGGCCUUCGGGUUGUAAACCGCUUUCGCCUGUGACGAAGCGUGAGUGACGGUAAUGGGUAAAGAAGCACCGGCUAACUACGU